AUUGUCGUUUUGGUUUGAGAUAGGAAGAUGAGGGGAGGAAGGAGGUGAGGCGGUAAGGGGCGUUCUCUCUCUUGGGUCCCGCGCCCAACUUCCGCUGGCCCAAAGAAACUAUAAUUUUGAACCAACAGACCUCUGCUGGCAUCUGCGAUUGCAUUUUUCCUGUUUUAACAACGGCUGUGCUAGACGAAGUGGUGAAGCCCAAAGACUUAUUUUUGAGCUCGCUGUAAGACUGAGAAAUCACGUAGUCCUUCCUGAAACCACUAAGAGGAAAAAUGAUCUAAAGUGGGCAACUAGGCUGGGCACAGUGGCUGACACCUGUGAUCCCAGCACUUUGGGAGGCGGAGUCUGUGACACUGCAUACAGAUGUAGGUGAUAUUAAAAUUGAAGUCUUCUGUGAGAGGACACCCAAAACAUGUGAGAUGGAGUCUCGCUGUGUCCCCCAGGCUGGAGUACAAUGGCGCGAUCUCGGCUCACUGCAACCUCCGCCUCCUGGGUUCAAGCAAGUCUUCUGCCUCAGCCUCCCGAGAACUGGAAGAGGAGGCAACAGUAUUUGGGGCAAGAAGUUUGAGGAUGAAUACAGUGAAUAUCUUAA
RNAcentral lists this long non-coding RNA (592 nucleotides) under Homo sapiens (human). Its description in RNAcentral is "non-protein coding lnc-CLK1-4:2". Lineage: Eukaryota; Metazoa; Chordata; Mammalia; Primates; Hominidae. The record is from RNAcentral.